CUACGGGGUGCAGCAGUGGGGAAUAUUGGACAAUGGGGGAAACCCUGAUCCAGCAAUGCCGCGUGUGUGAAGAAGGCCUGCGGGUUGUAAAGCACUUUCGGUUGGGAGGACUGCUUCUAGCACUAAUAUUGUUGGAAGUUGACGUUACCUUCAGAAGAAGCACCGGCUAACUCCGUGCCAGCAGCCGCGGUAAUACGGAGGGUGCAAGCGUUAAUCGGAAUUACUGGGCGUAAAGCGCGCGUAGGCGGCUAGAUCAGUCGGGUGUGAAAGCCCCGGGCUUAACCUGGGAACUGCAUCCGAUACUGUCUAGCUUGAGUACAGGAGAGGAGAGUGGAAUUCCACAUGUAGCGGUGAAAUGCGUAGAUAUGUGGAGGAACACCAAUGGCGAAGGCGACUUACUGGGCUGUCACUGACGCUGAGGCACGAAAGCGUGGGGAGCAAACAGGAUUAGAUACCCUCGUAGUC
This 465-nucleotide ribosomal RNA is filed under the name uncultured bacterium. RNAcentral describes it as "partial 16S ribosomal RNA". It matches the Rfam family "Bacterial small subunit ribosomal RNA", at positions 339 to 795 of the family's 1533-position model. The record is from RNAcentral.